RNAcentral lists this ribosomal RNA (460 nucleotides) under uncultured bacterium. RNAcentral's name for it is "partial 16S ribosomal RNA". It matches the Rfam family "Bacterial small subunit ribosomal RNA", at positions 338 to 795 of the family's 1533-position model. The record is from RNAcentral.
CCUACGGGAGGCAGCAGUGAGGAAUAUUGGUCAAUGGCCGGAAGGCUGAACCAGCCAUGCCGCGUGAAGGUCAGUGCCCUAUGGGCGUUAAACUUCUUUUGUGCGGGAGCAAUAAUGGUCACGUGUGGCCAGACGAGAGUACCGUACGAAUAAGCAUCGGCUAACUCCGUGCCAGCAGCCGCGGUAAUACGGGGGAUGCAAGCGUUAUCCGGAUUUAUUGGGUUUAAAGGGUGCGUAGCCUGUGCGGUAAGUCAGCGUUGAAAUGCCCCCACUCAAAGGGGUGAAGUGCCAUUGAUACUGCCUUGCUGGAAUGCGGAUGCCGUGGGAGGAAUGUGUGGUGUAGCGGUGAAAGGCAUAGAUAUCACACAGAACACCGAUUGCGAAGGCAUCUCACGAAUCCGCGAUUGACGCUGAUGCACGAAAGCGUGGGUAUCAAACAGGAUUAGAUACCCCGGUAGUC